This 263-nucleotide ribosomal RNA is filed under the name uncultured bacterium. RNAcentral's name for it is "partial 16S ribosomal RNA". It matches the Rfam family "Bacterial small subunit ribosomal RNA", at positions 92 to 353 of the family's 1533-position model. The record is from RNAcentral.
CGACCGGCGCACGGGUGAGUAACACGUAUCCAACCUGCCGUCUACUCUUGGACAGCCUUCUGAAAGGAAGAUUAAUACAAGAUGGCAUCAUGAGUCCGCAUGUUCACAUGAUUAAAGGUAUUCCGGUAGACGAUGGGGAUGCGUUCCAUUAGAUAGUAGGCGGGGUAACGGCCCACCUAGUCUUCGAUGGAUAGGGGUUCUGAGAGGGAGGUCCCCCACAUUGGAACUGAGACACGGUCCAAACUCCUACGGGAGGCAGCAUG